This is a long non-coding RNA of Esox lucius (northern pike), 662 nucleotides long. The record is from Ensembl. NCBI's taxonomy places the organism in Eukaryota, Metazoa, Chordata, Actinopteri, Esociformes, Esocidae.
CUCGCGACGACACCAUUCACUCUCUCAGUCUCACUCACACUCUCCUGUAAUUUUCGGGAGGAGAUUUGGAAGAUUCUCGCUGUCUUCGUAGUCAAGGCUAAGUCAAGUUACAGCACUUCCAGAAGAUAUUGUUUUCCCCCUGAGGACGCUCUUGGAGGUUGCUGCAAUGGAGCAGAAAUUGGCAGACCCCACCUUCCACAAAACAAGUGGUUGGCGUGGUGGCAGAAAUUGGAGGAAGAACAUUGGAUGAAGUCACCAGAAGAAUGAUGGCCUUCCUUUUAGACCACUCCCUAUCAAGAGAGUACAAUUUUGUUGGCUGCCAUGGAAAGCAAGAGUUUCGGGGCUCAAACUGUUUGAGUUUGUAUAUGGAAGCUUGAAAAAAAAUGCCCUUACAAACCAGAUUACUAGAAGAGAUGCUGAAAAGGCAGUGUCAAAGUGGCUAAUUGGUGCCAGGGACAGGGCAUGAAACCGUACAGCGAGGGCACGUGGUGGAGAGCAAGAUGGGGCCGUUGGGAGAGCGACAACAGAGGACUGAGAUUCUGCACUUUUGUUUUUGUAUGUGAAAUAAAGAGUUUUCUGACAGAGGACUGUAAAACUACACUUUUGUUUUGUUUGUGAAAUAUAAAGUUUGUCAAAAGCUUUCACUUUUGAUACUUGUCUGU